This is a long non-coding RNA of Calypte anna (Anna's hummingbird), 257 nucleotides long. RefSeq lists it as uncharacterized. Lineage: Eukaryota; Metazoa; Chordata; Aves; Apodiformes; Trochilidae. The record is from RefSeq and is a predicted model, not a curated record. The transcript has 3 exons.
CAGCAGGCGACCUCAUCCUCAGCCGUGCUCAGGAGGCUGCGGAAUUUGGCGAGCUGCAAUCAAGAGAGACAUAAGGAAGAAUGGAACUAUAUUUUUCUAUAGCAAUGUCACCACUUCUUACAUAUGGAAAAUGAUGAAUACUGAGGAAAUCUCCCAAAAUAUGUGACAGAAAAAUACAGCCAUGACUGCUAAUCCAUCUGACUGACGAGCUGCCUCAACAAAACUGGAAUAUUUUUCUGCGUUCCAGUGGACCACAU